UACAGAGGGUGCAAGCGUUGUUCGGAAUUAUUGGGCGUAAAGCGCGUGUAGGCGGCUAGGCAAGUCGGGUGUGAAAGCCCUCAGCUCAACUGAGGAAGUGCGCCCGAAACUGCUUGGCUUGAGUGCCGGAGAGGAUGGCGGAAUACCCCAAGUAGAGGUGAAAUUCGUAGAUAUGGGGUGGAACACCGGUGGCGAAGGCGGCCAUCUGGACGGUAACUGACGCUGAGACGCGAAAGCGUGGGUAGCAAACAGG
This 253-nucleotide ribosomal RNA is filed under the name uncultured bacterium. RNAcentral describes it as "partial 16S ribosomal RNA". It matches the Rfam family "Bacterial small subunit ribosomal RNA", at positions 524 to 776 of the family's 1533-position model. The record is from RNAcentral.